ACGGAGGGUGCGAGCGUUGUUCGGAAUCACUGGGCUUAAAGGGCGCGUAGGCGGGCAGCCGCGUCCGGGGUGAAAUCCCACGGCUCAACCGUGGAACGGCCUCGGAUACGGGCGGCCUCGAGGGGGGUAGGGGCAUCUGGAACUGUGAGUGGAGCGGUGAAAUGCGUUGAUAUUCACAGGAACUCCGGUGGCGAAGGCGAGGUGCUGGACCCCUUCUGACGCUGAGGCGCGAAAGCCAGGGGAGCGAACGGGA
RNAcentral lists this ribosomal RNA (253 nucleotides) under uncultured prokaryote. Its description in RNAcentral is "partial 16S ribosomal RNA". It matches the Rfam family "Bacterial small subunit ribosomal RNA", at positions 525 to 777 of the family's 1533-position model. The record is from RNAcentral.